AUGCUCACUUCGGCAGCACAUAUACUAAAAUUAGAAUGAUACAGAGAAGAUUAGCAUAGCUCUGCCUAAGGAUGACACACAGAUUCAUAAAACAUUCCAUAUUAAA
This 106-nucleotide small nuclear RNA is filed under the name Salvator merianae (Argentine black and white tegu). Lineage: Eukaryota; Metazoa; Chordata; Lepidosauria; Squamata; Teiidae. The record is from RNAcentral.